This 253-nucleotide ribosomal RNA is filed under the name uncultured bacterium. RNAcentral's name for it is "partial 16S ribosomal RNA". It matches the Rfam family "Bacterial small subunit ribosomal RNA", at positions 524 to 776 of the family's 1533-position model. The record is from RNAcentral.
UACGAAAGGGGCUAGCGUUGCUCGGAAUCAUUGGGCGUAAAGCGCGCGCAGGUGGCCAUGCAAGUUGAAAGUGAAAGCCCGGGGCUUAACCUCGGAAUUGCUUCCAAAACUGCACGGCUAGAGAAUGGUAGAGGAUAGUGGAAUUCCCGGUGUAGAGGUGAAAUUCGUAGAUAUCGGGAGGAACAUCAGUGGCGAAGGCGGCUAUCUGGGCCAUUUCUGACACUGAGGCGCGAAAGCGUGGGGAGCAAACAGG